RNAcentral lists this ribosomal RNA (253 nucleotides) under uncultured bacterium. Its description in RNAcentral is "partial 16S ribosomal RNA". It matches the Rfam family "Bacterial small subunit ribosomal RNA", at positions 524 to 776 of the family's 1533-position model. The record is from RNAcentral.
UACGUAGGUGGCGAGCAUUGUCCGGAUUUACUGGGCGUAAAGGGAGCGUAGGCGGACUUUUAAGUGAGAUGUGAAAUACUCGGGCUCAACUUGAGUGCUGCAUUUCAAACUGGAAGUCUAGAGUGCAGGAGAGGAGAAUGGAAUUCCUAGUGUAGCGGUGAAAUGCGUAGAGAUUAGGAGGAACACCAGUGGCGAAGGCGAUUCUCUGGACUGUAACUGACGCUGAGGCUCGAAAGCGUGGGGAGCAAACAGG